Molecule: ribosomal RNA, 253 nt
Filed under: uncultured bacterium
Lineage: Bacteria
Description: partial 16S ribosomal RNA
Rfam family: Bacterial small subunit ribosomal RNA
Source: RNAcentral
UACGUAGGCAGCGAGCGUUGUCCGGAGUUACUGGGCGUAAAGGGUGUGUAGGCGGUUGUUUUAAGUUUGGUGUGAAAUCUCCCGGCUCAACUGGGAGGCGCGCCGAAUACUGAAUGACUAGAGUGCGGGAGAGGAAAGUGGAAUUCCUGGUGUAGCGGUGAAAUGCGUAGAUAUCAGGAGGAACACCGGUGGUGUAGACGGCUUUCUGGACCGUAACUGACGCUGAGACACGAAAGCGUGGGUAGCAAACAGG